RNAcentral lists this long non-coding RNA (1090 nucleotides) under Populus trichocarpa (black cottonwood). RNAcentral's name for it is "long non-coding RNA (PTRI_LNC000748)". The record is from RNAcentral. Lineage: Eukaryota; Viridiplantae; Streptophyta; Magnoliopsida; Malpighiales; Salicaceae.
UACUUGGAACCAACAAGAACAUCCCACAAGGCAUCUCUGCUCCAAAUCAAAGAUCAAAUGCAUCCAUGCGGUGAGUUCGCAUUGGUUUGAUCCAAGUGGAACAUUUCCAUACCUACACCCCCAUUAGCAUAACAAUCCUUUAUUAAACCACUAGCUAGACGUGCAAGAUUCAACCUACACACAAGAACCCACUAGAUAGACUUCCACUGGAACCAUGCAGCAUUCUCCCGUGAUGACCUCAUUACUCAGUCUUUUCUACUGGGGUUUCUGUUUCAACCUUCUCCUCUGUUUCAACAGGCUUCUGUUCUUCCUUUACUUCUUCUUCCUUUGGGGCUUCGACUGCAACCUCCGUUUCUUCUGCCGGUGCCUCACCAGGCUCUGUAGUCUCUUUAGCCUCCUCGACAACAGGCUCUACGGGUACUUCCGGCUCCUCUUUUGUCUCCUCAGCAACCGGCUCUGGUGUUUCCUUAGGUGUCUCCUCCUCAGUUUUCUCUAGUACUGUUGGCUCUUCUGCAGCGAUCUUGUUCUCUUCGAGCACCUCUUUAGUUUCAGCUUCAGCUGGGGCCUCGGGCUCUGGUGCCACGGGCUCCUCAGAUGCUGCAACUUUCUCUGCUUCUUUUGGCUCUUCAUGAGUUACUGCCUCUGGUGCUGCAGUGACCGCUUCUUCUGUGGUGGUCUCAACCUUGAUUGGUUGUUCAUUUUUUUCCUCUACAAGUGCAUUCUGCGCUGACACAACCUGCAGGAUACGUUAUUAAAAGAAAAGAAUGCUCACCAAAAUGCUGAUGAGGUCUUACCAUUUGUUAUAUAUAUAGAGAUGAAUAUACGAGUUUUCAAAUAUGAACAUCCACGAAUUAAAGAUCAUAAUUAAGAUGGAGGUGUUGAUCUUGAUGUACAAUCCAUCAGCAUAAAACUUAUCAGAGUUAAUUAUAUAUAUAAAUAUAUUUAAUGACUUGGAAGAAGUAUAUAGAUGAAAUCUGUUAAAUAAACUUCUCAAGAGGGAGAUUAAAUCAUUCUUAGUGAAUGAGUUACCUCAACAGUGGCCAUUGGAACUAGAAGGAAAAUAAAGCACAGCUGGGAUACAAAAGAAAAC